CGGCAUGCCUUACACAUGCAAGUCGAACGGCAGCGGGGGUAGCUUGCUACCUGCCGGCGAGUGGCGAACGGGUGAGUAAUACAUCGGAACGUGCCCUGUAGUGGGGGAUAACUAGUCGAAAGACUGGCUAAUACCGCAUACGACCUGAGGGUGAAAGUGGGGGACCGCAAGGCCUCAUGCUAUAGGAGCGCCCGAUGUCUGAUUAGCUAGUUGGUGGGGUAAAGGCCCACCAAGGCGACGAUCAGUAGCUGGUCUGAGAGGACGAUCAGCCACACUGGGACUGAGACACGGCCCAGACUGCUAC
Molecule: ribosomal RNA, 304 nt
Filed under: Ralstonia solanacearum
Lineage: Bacteria; Pseudomonadati; Pseudomonadota; Betaproteobacteria; Burkholderiales; Burkholderiaceae
Description: bacterial SSU rRNA
Rfam family: Bacterial small subunit ribosomal RNA
Source: RNAcentral